AUUGUCUGCUUAAUUGAAAACGUUACGAACGAAGACCUUAACCUGCUAAAUAGUCACGCCAACUUUGUUGGUAGCCAACUUCUUAGAGGGACUGUCGGCAUCAAGCCGACGGAAGUUUGAGACAAUAACAGGUCUGUUAUGCCCUUAGAUGUCCUGGGCCGCACGCGCGCUACACUGAUGAAGUCAACGAGUUUAUAACCUUGGCCGGAAGGUCCGGGUAAUCUUUUGAAACUUCAUCGUGCUGGGGAUAGGGCAUUGCAAUG
RNAcentral lists this ribosomal RNA (263 nucleotides) under uncultured fungus. RNAcentral's name for it is "partial small subunit ribosomal RNA". It matches the Rfam family "Eukaryotic small subunit ribosomal RNA", at positions 1310 to 1591 of the family's 1831-position model. Lineage: Eukaryota; Fungi. The record is from RNAcentral.